Molecule: transfer RNA, 73 nt
Filed under: Camelus ferus (Wild Bactrian camel)
Lineage: Eukaryota; Metazoa; Chordata; Mammalia; Artiodactyla; Camelidae
Rfam family: tRNA
About the family: Transfer RNA (tRNA) molecules are approximately 80 nucleotides in length. Their secondary structure includes four short double-helical elements and three loops (D, anti-codon, and T loops). Further hydrogen bonds mediate the characteristic L-shaped molecular structure. tRNAs have two regions of fundamental functional importance: the anti-codon, which is responsible for specific mRNA codon recognition, and the 3' end, to which the tRNAs corresponding amino acid is attached (by aminoacyl-tRNA synthetases). tRNAs cope with the degeneracy of the genetic code in two manners: having more than one tRNA (with a specific anti-codon) for a particular amino acid; and 'wobble' base-pairing, i.e. permitting non-standard base-pairing at the 3rd anti-codon position.
Source: Rfam by way of RNAcentral
GAGGGUAUAGCUCAAGCAGUAGAGUGCAUGCCUAGCAUGCACAAGAUCCUGGGGUCAAUCCUCAGUACCUUCU